GAGUUUGAUCCUGGCUCAGAUUGAACGCUGGCGGCAUGCCUUACACAUGCAAGUCGAACGGCAGCACGGGAGCUUGCUCCUGGUGGCGAGUGGCGAACGGGUGAGUAAUGCAUCGGAACGUAUCCUGGAGUGGGGGAUAACGUAGCGAAAGUUACGCUAAUACCGCAUAUUCUGUGAGCAGGAAAGCGGGGGACCUUCGGGCCUCGCGCUCUUGGAGCGGCCGAUGUCGGAUUAGCUAGUUGGUGAGGUAAAGGCUCACCAAGGCGACGAUCCGUAGCAGGUCUGAGAGGAUGAUCUGCCACACUGGAACUGAGACACGGUCCAGACUCCUACGGGAGCGGCAGUGGGGAAUUUUGGACAAUGGGGGCAACCCUGAUCCAGCCAUGCCGCGUGAGUGAAGAAGGCC
Molecule: ribosomal RNA, 406 nt
Filed under: bacterium enrichment culture clone ALO1_GLFRUDD03GCKVC
Lineage: Bacteria
Description: bacterial SSU rRNA
Rfam family: Bacterial small subunit ribosomal RNA
Source: RNAcentral